Molecule: ribosomal RNA, 468 nt
Filed under: uncultured bacterium
Lineage: Bacteria
Description: partial 16S ribosomal RNA
Rfam family: Bacterial small subunit ribosomal RNA
Source: RNAcentral
GACGAACGCUGGCGGCGUGCUUAACACAUGCAAGUCGAACGGAAAGGCCCUGCUUUUGUGGGUUUCUCGAGUGGCGAACGGGUGAGUAACACGUGAGUAACCUGCCCUUCACUCUGGGAUAACCUCAGGAAAUUGGGGCUAAUACCGGAUAUGAGCUCCUGCCGCAUGGUGGGGGUUGGAAAGUUUCGGCGGUUGGGGAUGGACUCGCGGCUUAUCAGCUUGUUGGUGGGGUAGUGGCUUACCAAGGCCUUGACGGGUAGCCGGCCUGAGAGGGUGACCGGCCACACUGGGACUGAGAUACGGCCCAGACUCCUACGGGAGGCAGCAGUGGGGAAUAUUGCACAAUGGGCGGAAGCCUGAUGCAGCGACGCCGCGUGAGGGAUGACGGCCUUCGGGUUGUAAACCGCUUUCGCCAGGGACGAAGCGAGAGUGACGGUAACGGGUGAAGAAGCACCGGCUAACUACGUG